Vespa mandarinia (Asian giant hornet) is the source of this 3122-nucleotide unclassified non-coding RNA. NCBI's taxonomy places the organism in Eukaryota, Metazoa, Arthropoda, Insecta, Hymenoptera, Vespidae. The record is from RefSeq and is a predicted model, not a curated record.
AUCUUUCCUUAUCCUCGUGUUUUUAAUUUUUUUCUUCGUCAUUUUCUCCCUUCUUAUAAAGAAUUUUUUUCCCCUCUUAUCAUUUAACAAAUACGAGUGAAUUCGAAGGUCGCGUUACUCUUUUGUCUCCCCUCCUCUUUGUCUAUCUACAUAAUAUAGAACUUUGUCCGUCUCUCUUUCUCUCUCUUUCUCUCUCUCUCUCUCUCUCUCUCUCUCUCUCUCUCUUUCUCUAUUUGUUUUCCUUUUUUGUCGCGAGAACGACGAAGCUACUUUUUUUUUUCAUUUUCUUCUUCGAAUUCUCCAAGAGAUAGUUUAUGUUAUUAAAUGUUUGAUUAUUUGUUACGUUUUAACAAGGAAUAUGAGUACGACGUAAUAUAUGCGUCGUCAAAUUUUGCGUGCUCAUUACGAAACGACAAUUAAUCCUGAUCGGAAGUAAAAGAGAGAAAUAGAAAUAGAAAGGGAAAAUAGAGAGAAAGAGAGAGAGAGAGAGAGAGAGAGAAAGAGAGAAUGUGAGAGGCAGACAGAAAUAGAGAAAUAGAGAAAUAAAGAAAGAGUGAAUAGUUAAUGUGGCAUUUCGAUUUUGCCGACUGUCAACGUGGAUGGUCCAGUUGUGCAUCAGAAACCUUAAGAGGAAUUAUUAAAUUCUCUUACUGGAUCAAGACUGAAGCUUAAUAUCUAGAAAGACGUUACGCUACUUGACACGGAUCGCGUUCGAUUAAUCAUUCUUCGAAUUCCAAUUGAUGCAGCUUGAUUAGUAACCUGCAAUGUGUUAUUCAACGUGACACGAAUCAGUCAAUGUUUCCAUUUCGAAAACUGAAUGGUAGUUCGAUGUGUGCAUUGGGAAAUAUUCCAUCAAUCGCAAUUCCUUCCAUUCUCGUAUAUCAUCUAUUUACAGUGCCACACAUUCGUACAGGACUUUUUAUCAUACAUCGAAUUCCUUUUAACAAAAGCCGCGAUCUAUAAAACUGAACCUCGAAGCAAUUUCGCAUAUAUCGAUCGUCGAAAUCGGAAGUUUUUGGUUUUCCAUUCUUCAUCGUUAGUCGACGAAGUGGAGUUAGUGGGCGGAGAAGAGAGGAAGAGAGAUAAGGGGGGGGGGUCAGGUUGGUUUAGUAAUUUUCUCACGGAUUUAUUCGAGUUCGUUCAUCAUUGAAAAAGAAGUAAUAAUAGAAGAGAAAUAGUAAGAAGAGAAAAGAAAAGAAAAGAAAAGAAGAGAAGAGGAAAAAGGAAUCGUGAGAUGUUCCCAUGAGAAGAGCCGUCUGCGUGGUAAUGUCUUGUUGUUGUUGGUGCUGCGACAGCGGGAAUAGUAUAGCCGGUCCAAGAGGAACAACAGGAGCAGCAGCAGCAGCAGCAGCAAGUGCCAUCGUAACCGGUGGCCGAAGAAGUGUCGUGGUUGAGAACCACGUUCACAGGAGCAACGUGGUGAGCGGGGGUGGUCUUGGCAUCGCGUCCGGCCUCUCGGCGAUGCUCUCCCUCAUCGUCGUCACCGUCGCCAUCAGUACUGGCGAGUGGUUGUUGACCGAGGAAAAACUACCCAAGACGUCCUCGAACGCCUCAGUCGAGCCGGACAGCAAAGUGACAUAUAGCGGGCUCUGGCGUGUUUGUGUCGCCAUAAGUUCGCGCAUGGAAUACGAGUGUUCAAGUAUCGACUAUUUUCCAAACGAGGAAUACAGUCCCGAUCCCAGUGACUCAACGAUGGCGAUUCCAUAUGCAGUUACAAAGUCAGCCAUGUUUUUCUUUGCGGCGACGUCGUUGCUCGUAAUCGCGGAAGUUUGUUAUUUCGCCGCACACAUUACGCAUCCGAGGCACAGACUUUGCGUUUUCGUAGCUGGCGUAGUAUUUAUAGUUUCAGGGUUACUAAUGCUGGUUGGAAUGGUCAUGUACAUAUCAAUUUUUAAAGCCGAAGUUGGCAGCAAACUCAGGCCACGAUCAUCGUUUCAGGGACCUCCUUUUACGUAUAGAUACGGCUUCUCCUUUCUUCUAUAUGUGAGCGGCUUCAUCACUACCGAGGUGGCUGGUACAUACGCCAUUUUUCUAUAUAUAUCCUGGCACCAGCGAGAAUUGGUACGAAAGGACUUGAGACGGAAAAAUUAUGGGCAGGGCGUUUAUCACUUGGAUAAUCAUCACGUACAUCAUGGCAAUCAUGCCGCAUUGGGCCAUGGUAAUUUUAUCUGCGAGAGACACCAAAAGAGAUACUUCUUUGGAAGGGAUUCCGUCGAUUACGUCGAUUUCGAUGAGUUUUUACCACCACCACCGAACUUGGAUCAUUACGGUUACACCGGCAGACAAUUUCCAAGAGAUCUCACUGCUCAAACGGUGAGCACGACGGCGGACAUACUGCAGCAGGAGGAGGAUGUACCGGAGCCCGACACCGAUUACAGUCCAAGCGUCCGCCAUGAGUUCGUGACCUUUGACCUCGAGGAUCCAGCACCACCACCUACACCCGUUAGAGGUACCGAGUGGGCCUUCGCAGCUCUAAGAAGAACUACUCCCGUCUGAUAUAGCGUCAGAUAUAAACAAAUGAUAAUUCGAUGGUGUAAUAUCGGAUGAAUAUGAAAUGAUGGGAUGCGGUAAAACUUUUCCAACCAAGUUCAACCACAUCUUUCCUUGGCUUGUGUUUUUGCCGCAUAGAAUCUGGAAUUAUCGUAUUGCGGUAUGCGAGGUUGGUGCAAAACGUCGACUACGAUGACGUGAAUGAUGACGACGAGGACGACGACGACGACGACGACGACGACGACGACGACGACGACGACGACGACGACGACGACGACGACAACGACAAAAUGGAUGAGAAAGCAGAAGAGAAAUACACGGAAGAGGAAGAAGAGGAGUUCAUGUUGGACAAAAGCUGAAAAUAAUUGCUAUUAGAGUAAAAUCGUAAUCUCUUUUUGGCAAUUGCAUAAAGUCGUGGCUCUAGACUUUUUAAAAAUAUAUUUCGAUCGUUAAUUUUCUUUCUCGAACUAUAUCGAUAUAAAAGAACGGCCACAAAAGUGUUAGAAAUAUCGUAAUGUGAUCUAACGUUAUAUUAAAUAUACAAUUUUAUUUGAAAUACUUUUCGAGCAAAAAACGUCGAACGAUAAUUAAAUAAAAAAAAAAAAAAAAAAAAAAAAAAAAAUAAAAAAAAA